Molecule: long non-coding RNA, 661 nt
Filed under: Rosa chinensis
Lineage: Eukaryota; Viridiplantae; Streptophyta; Magnoliopsida; Rosales; Rosaceae
Description: sRNA RchiOBHm_Chr3g0485601
Source: RNAcentral
GACGGAUUUUGACGUAUAAGAUGUCGUUGGAAAGCUCUCUUCCUUCUCUUCAUUUCUGGGUUAGUUUCGUAGCUUGAUACGAACUGUGGAAGGUGCAGCAACUAGAAGAAGAGGACGGUCACUGUAGCAGUUUUGAGUCAAUGCCGAUAUUUUCAGAUUCCGGCAGUCUCCGGCCACCAAAUUGGCAUCGAAUGUUCGGUUUUUGACAUAGAUCAUUUCCCCUAAGGUCUUUCAUUUCAAUUUGCAGUGUAGAGGUCGAAUUAAUAAUUUCAAUUUCUAGGGUUCUUGGAAUUUCUGGAAAUUUUUCACCGGCCAAAUUGGAGCUCUUCCAGGUAAAAUUGGAACUUAUUGUAGUUGAGAAAGAGGUUUGGUUUGUUGAGUAGAUGGUGCUGCCAAAUUUUGGUGGCCAUCGGAGGUGGUUGCGUGUGGCGCGUGGGGCCCACGUGCUGCCACUGUUGGUGGCGCGUGGAGGCGUAGCUUGUAUGUGAAGUUUGGUGAAUUAUGAAGGAGUUUGGAAUUAUUUGUGAAUUUUCGAAGUUUGAAGUUUUGUGAUUGAAUUGUUGGAAAUUCGGCCGUCGGAUUUCCCUCGUUUUCUUUGUGGAAUAUGUUAAUUGAGGAAUUGGUGUUGUGGGAGAGAUUUGGGUUGAAUUUGAGAAGUAAU